AGACCAAAGCCCACAUGGAACACAGAGGAUGUGGGCUGCUGGUGGUGCAAAGCCCCGCUCAGAGACCGGCACAUGGCACUGGGACCCAAGAGGUCCAGUGCUGGCGUUCCAGACCUGAGGCAGCUGACACAGGACAGAGGCAGCAGCCCAGGGCAGCGCUGCUCUCCUUCGCUCAGCAGCCACCUGAGAGCCCCAAGGCCACGGGAGGAAAGAGCCGCUGACAAAGGAAUUCACCCUGAAGAGCGGCUAAAGGAAGCCUGAAACUUGCCUGCUGGCAGAAGGCAGGGAGCAGAGCGGCCUCCAGCAUCAUGACUUCUCUCCCCAUGUCUCCACGUGGUCUGAAGGUUCUUAGAGCACCACCUUGUGUUUAAAUACAAGCUGUUCUGAGUCCCCAGUGGUUUCAUCCCAUUUAGAACCACAAGCAGACAGUAAACCAUCCCCAUCUCACCACGCUCAGGUGUUCCAAAAGGCACAGGAACUACUCUGCUCAGAACUGGGUUUUCAUCUCAGCGCUCUUUACAACCACACAGGACAGCACUAAGAAGUCCCGUACCCAAGCACAGCCCAAGGCCAAAAAGCUCCUUCCUAGUAUUCUUCUACAGCAGAAUUAAGGGGCAUAGAGAUGACCAUAAUGCUAAAUAACAUCUACAGACUGCAUUGCUCAAGGAGCUUUCAUACAGACGUGAGGAAAAUGAACGGGAGUGGAUGGCAAAAAAAACAAUCUCUCAGUUUGGUUUAAUAAUCCCUUGUAGGAAAAUCUGAAGAAUCAAGUUACUUACCCACACGCACAGCAGGCUGGGAGAAAUGAGCUUUAACCUUGCCAGAGUGAAGGCAAAUGAUGCUGCUUCCUAUUUAAUACACACAGUCAGCACAGUGCAAUGAGAUCCCCGUGAAAGGACGCACUGAGAAUCAACACCGAGAAGAGGGAAACUGUUCU
This is a non-coding RNA of Meleagris gallopavo (turkey), 937 nucleotides long. The record is from RefSeq and is a predicted model, not a curated record. Lineage: Eukaryota; Metazoa; Chordata; Aves; Galliformes; Phasianidae.